CCCGCAAGCUGUCUGGUAUGAUUUGAAAGGUAUAUAAUGGGAAGAUCUUCAACACUCAUGAACUGAUUACAGCUCGUUAUACUGAGCUGAUUAAAAUGAAGAUCGCAGUUCUUCUUCUUCUGGUGUGUCUUGCAAGUCUCUGUGUUGUAUCAGACAGUUGUUGCGGAAAGUAUCAUGCAUCUUGUAACAUUGGAUGGGACUGCUGUGUAAAAUAUUAUUGUAACCCUACUCUAAAUGAAAGGACAGGAAAAUGGAAUGGACCAAAAAGAUGUGUAGGUCCAAAACCGAGAUAAAAAAUAACGCGUAGUUUCUAUAAGCAAACGAAUAAAAGAAACUUAUAGAAAAAAUAAACAUCUGGCAUUGACAUGUUU
Molecule: long non-coding RNA, 371 nt
Organism: Physella acuta
Lineage: Eukaryota; Metazoa; Mollusca; Gastropoda; Physidae
Source: RefSeq, a predicted model, not a curated record